CCUGAUCAGCCAUGCCGCGUGUGUGAAGAAGGCCCUCGGGUUGUAAAGCACUUUCAGCGAGGAAGAACGCCUAACGGUUAAUACCCGCUAGGAAAGACAUCACUCGCAGAAGAAGCACCGGCUAACUCCGUGCCAGCAGCCGCGGUAAUACGGAGGGUGCAAGCGUUAAUCGGAAUUACUGGGCGUAAAGCGCGCGUAGGUGGCUUGAUAAGCCGGUUGUGAAAGCCCCGGGCUCAACCUGGGAACGGCAUCCGGAACUGUCAAGCUAGAGUGCAGGAGAGGAAGGUAGAAUUCCCGGUGUAGCGGUGAAAUGCGUAGAGAUCGGGAGGAAUACCAGUGGCGAAGGCGGCCUUCUGGACUGACACUGACACUGAGGUGCGAAAGCGUGGGUAGCAAACAGGAUUAGAUACCCUGGUAGUCCACGCCGUAAACGAUGUCGACCAGCCGUUGGGUGCCUAGCGCACUUUGUGGCGAAGUUAACGCGAUAAGUCGACCGCCUGGGGAGUACGGCCGCAAGGUUAAAACUCAAAUGAAUUGACGGGGGCCCGCACAAGCGGUGGAGCAUGUGGUUUAAUUCGAUGCAACGCGAAGAACCUUACCUACUCUUGACAUCCUGCGAAUUUGGUAGAGAUACCUUAGUGCCUUCGGGAACGCAGAGACAGGUGCUGCAUGGCUGUCGUCAGCUCGUGUUGUGAAAUGUUGGGUUAAGUCCCGUAACGAGCGCAACCCUUGUCCUUAUUUGCCAGCGCGUAAUGGCGGGAACUCUAAGGAGACUGCCGGUGACAAACCGGAGGAAGGUGGGGACGACGUCAAGUCAUCAUGGCCCUUACGAGUAGGGCUACACACGUGCUACAAUGGUCGGUACAAAGGGUUGCCAACUCGCGAGAGUGAGCCAAUCCCGAAAAGCCGAUCUCAGUCCGGAUCGGAGUCUGCAACUCGACUCCGUGAAGUCGGAAUCGCUAGUAAUCGUGGA
Molecule: ribosomal RNA, 973 nt
Filed under: Vreelandella aquamarina
Lineage: Bacteria; Pseudomonadati; Pseudomonadota; Gammaproteobacteria; Oceanospirillales; Halomonadaceae
Description: bacterial SSU rRNA
Rfam family: Bacterial small subunit ribosomal RNA
Source: RNAcentral